RNAcentral lists this ribosomal RNA (242 nucleotides) under uncultured bacterium. Its description in RNAcentral is "partial 16S ribosomal RNA". It matches the Rfam family "Bacterial small subunit ribosomal RNA", at positions 91 to 334 of the family's 1533-position model. The record is from RNAcentral.
ACGAGUGGCGGACGGGUGAGUAACGCGUGGGAAUCUGCCUAGUAGUGGGGGACAACCCGAGGAAACUCGGGCUAAUACCGCAUACGCCCUACGGGGGAAAAGGGGCCUCUCCUUGGAAGCUCUUGCUAUUAGAUGAGCCCGCGUUGGAUUAGCUUGUUGGUGGGGUAAUGGCCUACCAAGGCAACGAUCCAUAGCUGGUCUGAGAGGACGAUCAGCCACACUGGGACUGAGACACGGCCCAG